CCUACGGGCGGCAGCAGUGAGGAAUAUUGGUCAAUGGGCGCGAGCCUGAACCAGCCAAGUCGCGUGAGGGAUGAAGGUUCUAUGGAUCGUAAACCUCUUUUAUAAGGGAAUAAAGUGUGGGACGUGUCCUAUUUUGUAUGUACCUUAUGAAUAAGGAUCGGCUAACUCCGUGCCAGCAGCCGCGGUAAUACGGAGGAUCCGAGCGUUAGCCGGAUUUAUUGGGUUUAAAGGGUGCGUAGGCGGCCUGUUAAGUCAGAGGUGAAAUCCUGUGGCUCAACCAUAGAAUUGCCGUUGAAACUGGGGGGCUUGAGUAUGUUUGAGGCAGGCGGAAUGCGUGGUGUAGCGGUGAAAUGCUUAGAGAUCACGAAGAACCCCGAUGGCGAAGGCAGCCUGCCAAGCCAUGACUGACGCUGAUGCACGAAAGCGUGGGGAUCAAACAGGAUUAGAUACCCUUGUAGUC
RNAcentral lists this ribosomal RNA (460 nucleotides) under uncultured bacterium. RNAcentral describes it as "partial 16S ribosomal RNA". It matches the Rfam family "Bacterial small subunit ribosomal RNA", at positions 338 to 795 of the family's 1533-position model. The record is from RNAcentral.